GCCCUUUGUACACACCGCCCGUCGCUACUACCGAUUGAAUGGCUCAGUGAGGCCUUCGGACUGGCCCAGGGAGGUCGGCAACGACCACCCAGGGCCGGAAAGUUCGUCAAACUUGGUCAUUUAGAGGAAGUAAAAGUCGUAACAAGGUCUCCGUAGGUGAACCUGCGGAGGGAUCAUU
RNAcentral lists this ribosomal RNA (178 nucleotides) under Toxicocladosporium posoqueriae. RNAcentral's name for it is "partial 18S ribosomal RNA". It matches the Rfam family "Eukaryotic small subunit ribosomal RNA", at positions 1655 to 1830 of the family's 1831-position model. Lineage: Eukaryota; Fungi; Ascomycota; Dothideomycetes; Cladosporiales; Cladosporiaceae. The record is from RNAcentral.